UAUAUGAUGGUGGUCAAUAGGAGAAGGCUGGGGGAGUCCUACCAGCUCCUGUGCUGGAGAUGGGCAGUGUCAUGGCCCUGGGAUCUGGCUGCUCCUGGAGGAGAUGCUGUGUGCUGGGCUUCAUGGUCAUGGUGAAAAAGGAUCAAUCCUCUGGACUGCAGGUUGAGAAUCAAAUUGCCUGCGUGCCCUGAAGUCUGAGAAUCAAAUGAAGAAGUUUACUGCAUGGAGACUUCAAAUUUUAACUUGAACUAAGUCUAAAAAAUGACCAGAGAACUUUUUACUGUGGUUUAGGAUGGUGCAGAGAGAGUCCACCAAGAAGGGUGUACUACCAGUGCUGCAGGAGCCCUAAUAGACAGAAUGCACAUCUCCCACGGACACAGCAGCAUGUGCUUCACUUAAGACCAAGAUGUGUAAAGCAUGUUCCAGUGUCUUCUUUCAAGUGGAAGAAGUGGAUGCCGACGAUGGUGCUGACCCAUACUACUGCAUCAAAUAUGUGAAGGAACACCUGAGAGACCUUGAGGUAGUACAAGCAUUCAGACUUCAAUACCUGUCAGGCCAAGAAAUCGCUGGGACCAUGCACACUAUGCUAGUAGACUGGCUUGUGCAAAUGCAAAUGAAAUUCAGACUGUUUCAGGAGACACUCGAGCGUUGCUGUUAAUAAUCACUUUUUUCAGGACAAUGCUGUGCUGAAGCUGGGUGGUGUCACAGCUAUGUUCAUUAUCAGGAUUUAUAAAGUUCAGGACAUGAUCAAAAUAUCUGUGUGUACCCAUCUAAAUAUGCACAAAGAUUUGCAUUUAUCUAAUAGUUGUACAAUGAGUUUCUCUCAAGACAGGGUAUUUUGAAUUGAAUAAGCCAUCUUCCUCAUCUUAGCACUUCUUCUGCAGUUUCAAAUUACCAAAGCAAAAUAUUGGUGGAAAUUUUUUAAUAUCUGUGAAGUUAAGAAUAAUAAGAUGAAGGAAGAAUCCUGGAGGAGUUAAUUACAACUUGCUUGUGUAUUUCUUUUGCGAAUUUCAGUGUGCAACUGAGUGCAAGUGAACACCUUCAGCUGAACCCCACCAUAAGGAAAACAAAACCACUGUCUGUUCAGGAACUGAACUUGGAAAGAUGUACAGCAAGACUGGGGCAAGAAGUAAAUAAUAAACAAACCAAAAUAUAUAAGAGUCUUCUGCACCCUCCUGAACCUGGAAGAGAUGCUAAGGCAGAUGAGUUUAUUCCUCAUUUAAAUUUAAACUUUGUUAUUGUAAUCCCAUUGUAAUUUAAACUUUUAAAUUAUAGUUUCUGUGAAAUUACAUAUUAGACAUCUAAAAAGGACCACUGAGAUAAGGUAAAGGUACCUUCUUGUGAGCCAUAGCUGUUAUAGCCGAUUUGCUGUCCAGCCAGUCUGUGUGCCAGAAAGGUACCAUCAGUUCUGAAUUAAUAUGUGCUGCAGAUUUCUCCAACUUAAAAUGUGGCAAAUGGAGUAAGAAGUGAAGAUAAGGCAGUGUUGGAGUACCUUGCAAUGUAGGCAAGCUUUUUAUAAUAUGACACUGUCCUUCCAAAAGCUUGGGAUUCAGACUCAUGAAUAAGAAAUCUUAAUGUUUCUUCUUGCAUCUGAAGUAAGGACUGGAAAUCAGUGUGGUUUUUGUCUCAGAAGAAAGGCCUUCAUGUUUCCGGCUUCCCCAGAAAACGUGUUAAAGCUGAGAUUUUAAAUUUAGUCACAGAAACUUGAAGGGCUCUGAGGAAGCAUCAAGGCCGUCCUCCUGCCCUGGGGUGGUGUAACUGACUGCUUCUGUGUCACUCCCGGCAGAUGCUUGUCUCAUUUUUGUUUAAAAACAUAAUUUGGGGAAACUGUACAGUGUGUCCAGGAAAUCUCUUCCUCCCGUGUUUCACCAUUUUUGCCACACAAAAAUGUAUGCAACAGCUCUUUCUUAAGAUCCAGUCUGACUCUUUUUUUCCUGCAACUUAAACCUGUUAUUUCUUGCCCUUAGACCAGCUUUGGAUCCAUUCCUCUUUUCUGCAGCCUUUAAUGUGACUACAAGUUGUUAUCAUCUCAACGUAAACAUACCUGACUGUUUCGUUUGCUGGCUUAAAGAAGCUGGCUAAUUAACCUGCUAGAUAAUGGCUUUUUGAUUUGUCAUUACAUCUAGAUCUUUGCCACGUGGAUCACAGAAGAGGUGCCCUGAACAGGGAUCACCUGGAGCCUUCCCACUCUUGAGCAGAAGAAUUAUUUUGUUUUUUCACCCUAUGUUGUAGGGUGUCCGUGCUUUUAUGAAUCUGAGUGUGGCAUUAAAUAUUAUUUUUGGCCCCAAAAAACUCUCAGAUCUUUUCUUAGUUAAGCCAGCUCUUCCUGUAGCUUGACACUUACAGUACGUUCUGGGUUGGAUCUGUGCAACAAGUUUUUAAAGGCCUUACUUUUAUUUCAGCAUUCAGGUCGCUAAUGAGGGUGCUGCAUGUUGUCGGAUCCAGACCCCUGUGUGAUGCCUCCUUUUCAUUUUGAUAGCGAAGCAUUGAUAACUACUAUUAAGGCAUGGUUUUCACCCAGCUUUGUGUCCCCCUAUUACAUUUCCAUCAGCAUUAUGUGGGACACUGCAUUAGAAAUCAGGGACAAGUGAUAGUUAUUUAGGUGUGCUUGGGAGUUCAAUGAGUAUGGAUGUAUUAAUAUGCACUUGGAUUUUCUGACUGUUCAGUGAAUGGAUGUACAUUUUUAUUGGUGCAGCUGGUGCUUUUUAAAAGUGAUGCAUAGAAAUACACUUGCUAAUGAAAAUUGCUAAGACAUCAUAAAGAAAUGGGUUAUAGGGUUCAGAAAACCAAAAACGAAACUGAAUCUAAUUACCAAAGAGGAAGGUGUGCUGCUGUGAAUUUGAUUGAGAUUUUAUGUAAAUCCCGUCCAGCUAGUCCACUCCAGCAUUUGAUUUAGAAGUCUAAUGGGCAGUAAGGAUGUGCAGAAUGCAGAUUGUGGGCAAGCUGCAAAGCAGCUGCUCUGGUGAGCUACUAGGUUAAGUGACUGAUAGACUUCUGCUGAGG
Molecule: long non-coding RNA, 3003 nt
Organism: Lagopus muta (rock ptarmigan)
Lineage: Eukaryota; Metazoa; Chordata; Aves; Galliformes; Phasianidae
Exons: 3
Source: RefSeq, a predicted model, not a curated record